AUAUACAUGACAGAGAAGUCAGCCAUAAAGAAGCUAUGUAAACCGGAGCAACAGGAGACCACACUCCCUGGGAGGGUGUGACUACAUUCCAGGCCAGAUGACACCGCUGUCCUGCUUGUAGAUUUCAGCUGUUGUGACGAAUGUGGGCUAUGAACACAGAUUCCCACCGCCGCCCCCCAAGGCAGGGUCGCCUGUAUCCCAGCCUGGCUCAAACCUCAAGCUUGCUAAACAAGGAUGAUUCUGAAUUGCCUCCUGCCUGCAUCUCUCCAGUGCUGGGACUGCAGGCUCCAAAAAAGAAGCUGUCAAGGACCCACUGCAUGUGAUAGUGUACACACACUCUAUCACCCAUUUCUUAAUGGAACGUAGUCUACAUAUGGACAGGAUUUCAGCCCUGGAAGAAGAUAUCUUCAACAAAGAGUCUAGUCUUCAAGGAUAGCUGUUCAGCAUACUGAAGAUGGUGGAUGCAGUAAAAGUCAGUCGAUAAAGAUAAGCCUUUAAGGACAAUGAGGAUGAGACAAGCAGCAAAAUGCAAGUCUCCAGGUUCUGCAUGAACUCCAGAAACACCAUCAAGGAGACGGUUGUGGUCUUGGCUCUAGUCACCUGAGAUACAGGGAGCACUGGCUGCAACU
This is a non-coding RNA of Peromyscus maniculatus bairdii (prairie deer mouse), 629 nucleotides long. NCBI's taxonomy places the organism in Eukaryota, Metazoa, Chordata, Mammalia, Rodentia, Cricetidae. The record is from RefSeq and is a predicted model, not a curated record.